GCGCGAGUGGCGGAAUUUGGCAGACGCGAUGGAUUUAGGUUCCAUUGUCUUCGGACGUGGGGGUUCAAGUCCCCCCUCGCGCACCU
This 86-nucleotide transfer RNA is filed under the name Mycolicibacterium hassiacum DSM 44199. Its description in RNAcentral is "tRNA-Leu". It matches the Rfam family "tRNA". Rfam says of the family: Transfer RNA (tRNA) molecules are approximately 80 nucleotides in length. Their secondary structure includes four short double-helical elements and three loops (D, anti-codon, and T loops). Further hydrogen bonds mediate the characteristic L-shaped molecular structure. tRNAs have two regions of fundamental functional importance: the anti-codon, which is responsible for specific mRNA codon recognition, and the 3' end, to which the tRNAs corresponding amino acid is attached (by aminoacyl-tRNA synthetases). tRNAs cope with the degeneracy of the genetic code in two manners: having more than one tRNA (with a specific anti-codon) for a particular amino acid; and 'wobble' base-pairing, i.e. permitting non-standard base-pairing at the 3rd anti-codon position. The record is from RNAcentral. Lineage: Bacteria; Bacillati; Actinomycetota; Actinomycetes; Mycobacteriales; Mycobacteriaceae.